CAGUCGCCGCGGUAAUACGUAGGUGGCAAGCGUUGUCCGGAAUUAUUGGGCGUAAAGGGCUCGCAGGCAGUUUCUUAAGUCUGAUGUGAAAGCCCCCGGCUCAACCGGGGAGGGUCAUUGGAAACUGGGAAACUUGAGUGCAGAAGAGGAGAGUGGAAUUCCACGUGUAGCGGUGAAAUGCGUAGAGAUGUGGAGGAACACCAGUGGCGAAGGCGACUCUCUGGUCUGUAACUGACGCUGAGGAGCGAAAGCGUGGGGAGCGAACAGGAUUAGAUACCCCUGUAGUCCCUGUCUCUUAUAC
This 301-nucleotide ribosomal RNA is filed under the name uncultured bacterium. RNAcentral's name for it is "partial 16S ribosomal RNA". It matches the Rfam family "Bacterial small subunit ribosomal RNA", at positions 509 to 807 of the family's 1533-position model. The record is from RNAcentral.